GAACGCUAGCGGCAGGCUUAACACAUGCAAGUCGAGGGGUAGAAGCAGCUUGCUGCUUUGAGACCGGCGCACGGGUGCGUAACGCGUAUGCAAUCUACCUUUUACAGAGGGAUAGCCCAGAGAAAUUUGGAUUAAUGCCCCAUAGUAUAGUUUUUUCGCAUGAAGAGAUUAUUAAAGUACCAACGGUAAAAGAUGAGCAUGCGUCCCAUUAGCUAGAUGGUAAGGUAACGGCUUACCAUGGCGACGAUGGGUAGGGGUCCUGAGAGGGAGAUCCCCACACUGGUACUGAGACACGGACCAGACUCCUACGGGAGGCAGCAGUGAGGAAUAUUGGUCAAUGGACGCAAGUCUGAACCAGCCAUGCCGCGUGCAGGAUGACGGUCCUAUGGAUUGUAAACUGCUUUUGUACGAGAAGAAACACUCCUACGUGUAGGAGCUUGACGGUAUCGUAAGAAUAAGGAUCGGCUAACUCCGUG
This 476-nucleotide ribosomal RNA is filed under the name uncultured bacterium. RNAcentral describes it as "bacterial SSU rRNA". It matches the Rfam family "Bacterial small subunit ribosomal RNA", at positions 31 to 507 of the family's 1533-position model. The record is from RNAcentral.